Tachyglossus aculeatus (Australian echidna) is the source of this 138-nucleotide small nucleolar RNA. NCBI's taxonomy places the organism in Eukaryota, Metazoa, Chordata, Mammalia, Monotremata, Tachyglossidae. The record is from RefSeq and is a predicted model, not a curated record.
UACCCCUCGGGGUCGCACCUGGAGAGUUUUCAGUAUUCUACCAGUCUCGACUACGGAAGGGAGAGUCAAGCAGAGGCGUAUCCAGUCCAUUCCUAGCGUGGGCAGUGGCUAGCAAGUGGAAGGCAAUCUGCUACAAGU